AAGUAAUCACUGAAUCUACUUAAGAAAAGCGAGUAAACAUAACUGAUUUUUACAAAUUUGUUGAAUUUACUUAAUUACACUGUGUUAUGUGAACUUUCAGGUGGAUGCAAUAGUUAAACUAAACAACUUUAGUAAACAGUACUUAAGAGCAUCUAGUUUGUUGGAUUAAAUCCCACUAUGUGCCCUAAUAACUCUAGACCAGUAGGUGGCGGAAGUGCACCAAUAGGUGGCGGAAGGUUGGUUUAAACAAAACAUCACCAGAAGAAGACAACGAACUGAACUUCAGAGUCAGAUCGUGUUUGAAAUGUGGCAGCAAGAUUAGACAUCUAACAUCAAUGGGCGAUGAACAGCAGUUCUCCACGGCCUUCCACUCUUCCUUGAAAAGGACCUUACUGAUUUUACAAGACAUGUUUUGUAAGUAAUUUUGUCUGUUAUAUUCUGGUUAUUUAGUGUAAUGCAGACAAUUCUUGAGACCUGGCAAGAAAAAAAUCAGGACACAGAAACAAUAUAAGAUAGAAAGGAAUAAAGAAAGUGAAAAAAAAAAA
Molecule: long non-coding RNA, 545 nt
Organism: Sinocyclocheilus rhinocerous
Lineage: Eukaryota; Metazoa; Chordata; Actinopteri; Cypriniformes; Cyprinidae
Exons: 2
Source: RefSeq, a predicted model, not a curated record